This is a long non-coding RNA of Ictalurus punctatus (channel catfish), 2313 nucleotides long. RefSeq lists it as uncharacterized. Lineage: Eukaryota; Metazoa; Chordata; Actinopteri; Siluriformes; Ictaluridae. The record is from RefSeq and is a predicted model, not a curated record. The transcript is spliced from 3 exons.
GCUUUCCUGGACUCUGAAGAUUAGCUUUUGGGUGUCAGAAUAUACGUUUUCCGGAAUUUUAGAGAUGUCGUAGUGUCUUGGCUUGUUUGUUUAUUUGUUUUGUAGUUCACUUUAGUAAAUAACAUAUCCACCAAGGCAACACGGGAGUUGCCUGAACGAAUCAGAGCCUGGUAUCGCAUCCGGGUAUUGUGUGUGUAUUUUUAUCAAUUGAUUCGUAUCCUAGAUAAAAACCAGAGCUCGAAGCUAUUUUGGUUUUUAUAUGGUUUUUAAUCGUGUACAAGCAGGAAUGAUAUCAAGUCUCAUCCUGGCUCUCUGAAACUGGCAGCUGUUCUGGGACUGUGAUUUUUUCAGGACACUCUGGUGAAGAUACCCAUUGAAGAAAUCUGCUGCUGAUAAUCUUUUCUUUAACAUUACUGUUUUGAAUCCAACCCAACCAUCCUGAAAGGAAUUACUGCAUCAAUGUGGCGUGACAUGGAGGCGAUCAGCCUGUGGCACUGCUGAGGUGUUCUGGAAGCCCAGGUUGCUUUGAUAGCGGCCUUCAGCUCAUCUGUAUUGUUGGGUCUGGUGUCUCUCAUAGAUUCUCUGUGGGGUUCAGGACAGGUGAGUUGGCUGGCCAAUUAAACACAGUAAUACCAUGGUCAGCAAACCAGUUACUAGUAGUUUUGGCACUGUGGGCAAGUGCCAAGUCCUGCUGGAAAAGGAAAUCAGCAUCUCCAUAAAGCUCAUCAGCAGAUGGAAGCAUGAAGUGCUCUAAAAUCUCCUGGUACACGCUGUAUUGACUCUCGACUUGAGAAAACACAGCGGGCCAACACCAGCAGAUGACAUGGCACCCCAAAUCAUCACUGACUGUGGGACUUCACACUGGACUUGAUUUCCAAAUGAAAUGCAAAAUUUACUUUCAUCUUCCCCAUGAUUGUGGUUGUGUGUUCUGAACCAGACAGAGAUAUAGAAUAUAUCAAAGUUCCACUUUUUGAAUUAAAUUACAGGGGGAAAAAACCCCAAACUUUUCCACGAUAUUCUAAUUUUUGAGAUGCACCUGCAUACACACAGUCAUGUGGAAGAAAAAAAAAAAGAACACCCCAUGGAAAUUGUUGGCUUUUUUGACACAUGUCUCUGUAUGUGUAAUUCUAUCAUUAUUUGAUUUUUUUUUUUUUUUACUUUAACUGUACUAGUACUACUCUUGCACUUAUUUUUGAAGUGGAUUUUGAGUAAUUUGAGUGACUAAGUAAUUGAGAAAAUCUGAAAAUGCUGGUGUGUAAUAAUCACACUUUACACACAAUCAAUCAAUCAAUCAAUAAAUAAAUAAAUGGGCCAAGCACAAAACGGCAAAAGUUACCAAGCAAAUAGUGGCACGGGAGAUCUCAGGAGUGCAUUUGUUUAAUUCUUACUCAUUUUCUGACCAAUGAUUUGUUGUUCAGACCAUUAAAAAGCUCAAUCUUUUUGCCAUUUUGGGCUUGGCCCUUUUGUAUUUUUUUUUUUUUGGCUCAGGAGUGUACAGUAGAUCAAACAUGAUUAUUGACACUUUUAAAAGCACAGAUGACAGAAUGAUUGUUUCUAUAAAUGCAUGAAAAGCAGAUAUUUUCAACUCAACUCAAAUAUAUUGUGCACAAACCAAACCAGGACAAAUUGCCUUACUAUGGGAAUGUGUUGAUAAGGCUCUCCUGAAGCAGGCAGCCGAAUGAGACCACCACCCCGACAUCAAACUGCCCACUGGACUCCACCCUGGGCCACUCAUGAACCCGGAGCUCGUGCUGCUCUGCGAACUUCCGGACAGGGACAUUAUUGGACAAAGUGACAACCUCGAGCGAGUCCAGCACAGAAUCAGCUCCGUCUCCUCUGCAACAGGACACGGACACACACACUUUAACACUGCAAACGCAUUCUUUCGAAGAGGAAGCAAGUCUUGAUUAAAGACAUGGACAUUCUCACCGAGCUGCAUGAAGCCGUUUCAGAGACUCUACUGCGAAAUCGUCACUUCCGAAGAACAAUAUUCUCCACGGAGGAUUUGAGACACAGCGGGUCUGUAUGAUACAGGACACGACUGAAGUCUUCCUGUGCUGUCUCUGACUUUGACCAGCACAUGAUGCAAACUUCCCUUUAACGCAUCGCCGACAAAAUCCGCGGAUAAAAUAAGGAGCAUUGUGGAUUACUUUCACACCGACUUGAUUCCACAUCCUUAAAUGAUAUAAAUAUAUACGCACACACAGCUGUGUGAAUUUUAUCUGAAGCCGGUGAUGACCUACUAGCAUUCAAUAGCUAGAGGCUCGGUGGUUGUUUUUUUUUAACAUUAACAAAUAAAUCCGUUUAAACAUU